CCUACGGGUGGCAGCAGUGGGGAAUAUUGCACAAUGGGGGAAACCCUGAUGCAGCGACGCCGCGUGAGUGAAGAAGUCUCUCGGUAUGUAAAGCUCUAUCAGUAGGGAAGAAAAUGACGGUACCUGACCAUGAAGCCCCGGCUAACAACGUGCCAGAAGCCGCGGUAAUACGCAGGGGGCCAGCGUUAUCCGGAUUUACUGGGUGUAAAGGGAGCGUAGACGGGCAGACAAGUCAGUAGUGAAAGCGUAGGGCUCAACCGUGGGAUUGCUUUUGAAACUGCCGGGCUGGAGUGCAGGAGAGGUAAGCGGAAUUCGUGGUGUAGCGGUGAAAUGCGUAGAUAUUACGAAGAACACCGGUGGCGAAGGCAGCUUACUGAACUGUAACUGACGUUGAGGCUCGAAAGCGUGGGGAGCAAACAGGAUUAGAUACCCGGGUAGUC
This 440-nucleotide ribosomal RNA is filed under the name uncultured bacterium. Its description in RNAcentral is "partial 16S ribosomal RNA". It matches the Rfam family "Bacterial small subunit ribosomal RNA", at positions 338 to 795 of the family's 1533-position model. The record is from RNAcentral.